Molecule: ribosomal RNA, 407 nt
Filed under: Rhizobium leguminosarum
Lineage: Bacteria; Pseudomonadati; Pseudomonadota; Alphaproteobacteria; Hyphomicrobiales; Rhizobiaceae
Description: bacterial SSU rRNA
Rfam family: Bacterial small subunit ribosomal RNA
Source: RNAcentral
CUGGCUCAGAACGAACGCUGGCGGCAGGCUUAACACAUGCAAGUCGAGCGCCCCGCAAGGGGAGCGGCAGACGGGUGAGUAACGCGUGGGAAUCUACCCUUGACUACGGAAUAACGCAGGGAAACUUGUGCUAAUACCGUAUGUGUCCUUCGGGAGAAAGAUUUAUCGGUCAAGGAUGAGCCCGCGUUGGAUUAGCUAGUUGGUGGGGUAAAGGCCUACCAAGGCGACGAUCCAUAGCUGGUCUGAGAGGAUGAUCAGCCACAUUGGGACUGAGACACGGCCCAAACUCCUACGGGAGGCAGCAGUGGGGAAUAUUGGACAAUGGGCGCAAGCCUGAUCCAGCCAUGCCGCGUGAGUGAUGAAGGCCCUAGGGUUGUAAAGCUCUUUCACCGGAGAAGAUAAUGACG